UACGUAGGGUGCAAGCGUUAAUCGGAAUUACUGGGCGUAAAGCGUGCGCAGGCGGCUUUGCAAGACAGAUGUGAAAUCCCCGGGCUUAACCUGGGAACUGCAUUUGUGACUGCAUGGCUGGAGUGCGGCAGAGGGGGAUGGAAUUCCGCGUGUAGCAGUGAAAUGCGUAGAUAUGCGGAGGAACACCGAUGGCGAAGGCAAUCCCGUGGGCCUGCACUGACGCUAAUGCACGAAAGCGUGGGGAGCAAACAGG
RNAcentral lists this ribosomal RNA (253 nucleotides) under uncultured bacterium. Its description in RNAcentral is "partial 16S ribosomal RNA". It matches the Rfam family "Bacterial small subunit ribosomal RNA", at positions 524 to 776 of the family's 1533-position model. The record is from RNAcentral.